AACGAACGCUGGCGGCGGGGCUUAGGCAUGCAAGUCGAGCGAGAAAGCCGCAAGGCAAGUACAGCGGCGUAAGGGUGAGUAAUAGGUAGUCAACGUAUCCAUGAGACGCGAAUAAUUUUCCGAAAGGGAUUGUAAUGCGCGAUGAGACCACGCUUCCUUCGGGGAGAGGGGUCAAAGGUCGGGGAUUCUUCGGAACCUGGCGCUGAUGGAGCGGACGACCUCCGAUUAGCUAGAUGGCGGGGUAACGGCCCACCAUGGCUGUGAUCGGUAGCCGGCCUGAGAGGGUGUUCGGCCACACUGGGACUGAGACACUGCCCAGACUCCUACGGGAGGCUGCAGUCGCGAAUCAUUCACAAUGGGCGCAAGCCUGAUGAUGCCACGCCGCGUGCGGGAUGAAGGCCCUCUGGGUUGUAAACCGCUGUCAAGAGGGAGGAAACGCAUGGUGUUAACAGCGCCAUG
Molecule: ribosomal RNA, 459 nt
Filed under: uncultured bacterium
Lineage: Bacteria
Description: bacterial SSU rRNA
Rfam family: Bacterial small subunit ribosomal RNA
Source: RNAcentral